RNAcentral lists this transfer RNA (62 nucleotides) under Glycinde armigera. Its description in RNAcentral is "tRNA-Phe". The record is from RNAcentral. Lineage: Eukaryota; Metazoa; Annelida; Polychaeta; Phyllodocida; Goniadidae.
GUUCUGAUAGCUUAUUUAAAGCAUAACAUUGAAGCUGUUAAGAAAAUAUUUAUUUCAGAACA